Molecule: ribosomal RNA, 406 nt
Filed under: uncultured bacterium
Lineage: Bacteria
Description: partial 16S ribosomal RNA
Rfam family: Bacterial small subunit ribosomal RNA
Source: RNAcentral
AAUGAACGCUGGCGGCAGGCCUAACACAUGCAAGUCGAGCGAGCGGCGGACGGGUGAGUAAUGUAUGGGGAUUUGCCCGAAAGAGGGGGAUAACUACUGGAAACGGUGGCUAAUACCGCAUCCUAUCGGAUGAACCCAUAUGGGAUUAGCUAGUAGGUGGGGUAAAGGCUCACCGAGGCGACGAUCUCUAGCUGGUCUGAGAGGAUGAUCAGCCACACGUGGACGGAGACGCGGCCCAGAAUCCUACGUGAGGCAGCAGUGGGGAAUAUUGCACAAUGGGCGGAAGCCUGAUGCAGCCAUGCCGCGUGUAUGAAGAAGGCCUUCGGGUUGUAAAGUUCUUUCGGUAGCGAGGCGUUAGCUACUGAUGAAGCACCGGCUAACUCCGUGCCAGCCGCCGCGGUAAUAC